GUCGUUUAUUUGCUUAAGCAGGGACUCUCAACUGUCACCCACACAGCGGAUCGAGAUUGAGAGCCCUGAGUCCCUAACUAGCAGGGUUUUUAUUGAGACUACAACAAGCUUUGGUUAUUAGUAGCCAGGUGAUUGGUUAAUACUCAAUACAUAUGAAGUGUAGGGUUUUGGUUGGCUAGGCUUUGGGGGCCGAAGGGGAUUAUGUAUUGGUUUUUGUGAGGGAGAAAAGGGGCAAAGAUUAACGGCCGGUUGUUACAUACUGAUCGUUAGCAGACCCACUAAUGGCCGCAUCUAUCUUGUGUGGACAGUCAGCUCACUAACUGCUUAUCCUACAGAUAGUGUACCUGGAACGCUCUCUCCCCGGGUACACAGGUGGUUGGGUAAUAAACUCAGGAAUUUCAAGUGGUGAAUUCCUAGUUUAAGCACAAAUUUGAGAGAACAAAGGAGACGGCUCCAAAAUGGAGUCAUUUUGGUCCCACAAGUAAUUUCAGCAGAGAUGGAAACUAUAAGAGAGAACCAGACGGAAAUACUCCAAACAAAACACAGCAGUGGAGAUGGAAGUGCCUGAGUGUGCCGCAGACUCAACACAGCUGAGGGAGGAAUCAGCAAAUGUGAAGAUAGAGCACUACUCAGAAGCAAGAACCAAACUGGAACGCUUGUGCACGCAUGCACUGCACCCACGCACCAGGAGCUGGGGAAAGAAACCCAGCACCCAAGCCAGAAGAGAAGACAGGGAGAAGAUGCUCUCUAGAGAAACAAGGGCCACAUUGUUUUUGAAGUUGAUGGCAAACAGCAAACAGAGUUAGGAAAAUCCGUGAACACCACAUAGGACGCACACCAAGAACAGCUGAAUGUGGGAAGGCCUGGUGCAAAGCUCUCGAAGGAGUCUUGAGGGAACACACACACACAUGCACACGUGUGCAUGCGCACACACACAUGCACACACAGUAUCAAGGAUGUGAGAACCACAGAGUCUUCUGUAAAUCACUGAAAAGCAAAGCAGAGCUGUCAGCCCAGAGCACGACAGCCAGCAAAAUCACCCACGGAGCACAAGGAAGUCUUUCUCAGAUGAACAAAAGCUGAGAAUCAUCGCCCUCCUACCUGCUCCGUAAGACCUGCCGGAGGAAGUUCUUCGGGGGUGGGGACCUGGUGUCAGCAGGGCCCCAGGCCACACAGGCAGCAGAGUGCUGGAGCCAGCUGAGUGGUUUC
Molecule: long non-coding RNA, 1209 nt
Filed under: Heterocephalus glaber (naked mole-rat)
Lineage: Eukaryota; Metazoa; Chordata; Mammalia; Rodentia; Bathyergidae
Description: lncRNA (ENSHGLG00000043332.1)
Source: RNAcentral